RNAcentral lists this ribosomal RNA (1239 nucleotides) under Candidatus Phytoplasma pyri. Its description in RNAcentral is "bacterial SSU rRNA". It matches the Rfam family "Bacterial small subunit ribosomal RNA", at positions 153 to 1397 of the family's 1533-position model. The record is from RNAcentral. Lineage: Bacteria; Bacillati; Mycoplasmatota; Mollicutes; Acholeplasmatales; Acholeplasmataceae.
GAAACGACUGCUAAGACUGGAUAGGAAGUUUUAAGGCAUCUUGAAACUUUUAAAAGACCCGCAAGGGUAUGCUGAGAGAUGGGCUUGCGGCACAUUAGUUAGUUGGUAAGGUAACGGCUUACCAAGACCAUGAUGUGUAGCUGGACUGAGAGGUUGAACGGCCACAUUGGGACUGAGAUACGGCCCAAACUCCUACGGGAGGCAGCAGUAAGGAAUUUUCGGCAAUGGAGGAAACUCUGACCGAGCAACGCCGCGUGAACGAUGAAGCAUUUAGGUAUGUAAAGUUCUUUUAUUAAAGAAGAAAAAAUGAUGGAAAAAUCAUUCUGACGGUAUUUAAUGAAUAAGCCCCGGCUAACUAUGUGCCAGCAGCUGCGGUAAUACAUGGGGGGCAAGCGUUAUCCGGAUUUAUUGGGCGUAAAGGGUGCGUAGGCGGUUUAAUAAGUCUAUGGUCUAAGUUCAACGCUUAACGUUGUGAUGCUAUAGAAACUGUUUGACUAGAGUUGGAUAGAGGCAAGUGGAAUUCCAUGUGUAGCGGUAAAAUGCGUAAAGAUAUGGAGGAACACCAGUAGCGAAGGCGGCUUGCUGGGUCUUAACUGACGCUGAGGCACGAAAGCGUGGGGAGCAAACAGGAUUAGAUACCCUGGUAGUCCACGCCGUAAACGAUGAGUACUAAGUGUUGGGUUAAACCAGUGCUGAAGUUAACGCAUUAAGUACUCCGCCUGAGUAGUACGUACGCAAGUAUGAAACUUAAAGGAAUUGACGGGACUCCGCACAAGCGGUGGAUCAUGUUGUUUAAUUCGAAGAUACACGAAAAACCUUACCAGGUCUUGACAUACUCUGCAAAGCUAUAGAAAUAUAGUGGAGGUUAUCAGGGAUACAGGUGGUGCAUGGUUGUCGUCAGCUCGUGUCGUGAGAUGUUGGGUUAAGUCCCGCAACGAGCGCAACCCUUAUCGCUAGUUACCAUCAUUUAGUUGGGCACUUUAGUGAGACUGCCAAUGAUAAAUUGGAGGAAGGUGGGGAUUACGUCAAAUCAUCAUGCCCCUUAUGACCUGGGCUACAAACGUGAUACAAUGGCUGUUACAAAGAGUAGCUGAAGCGUGAGUUUUUAGCAAAUCUCAAAAAAACAGUCUCAGUUCGGAUUGAAGUCUGCAACUCGACUUCAUGAAGUCGGAAUCGCUAGUAAUCGCGAAUCAGCAUGUCGUGGUGAAUACGUUCUCGGGGUUUGUACACACCGCCCGU